GAUACCCUUAUAGACUUGGAACAUGGACUGUUCCACAAAGCCAACAAAAAGGCAGGCAUAACUUGGGACCCAUAUGGGUGCCCAUGGGUACACCCUUGGUUUGGAGGAAGUGGGAGGAGCCAAAGGAGAAAUUAUUAAGAACUAAUUCCGCUAGACGGAGGAGAGUGGUAGUAGAGGGGAAUUGGUUAGGUCUGGAAUCCAAAAAGAAGUGAAGAGCUUUGAGACUGUCCUGGUGGGAGAUGGAGUAUAUAAGGACGGGACAUCCAUGGUGAAAAUAAGGCGGUGGGGGUCUUUCUACUGUAUCUCAAUAAAUUUAACAACAAUAAAACCAACCAGGUCUCUCUCUACAUCUCUUCCCUCCAACCUAUCAGAAAGAUCCCAGAGAAAGGGAGGAGGGUGGAGAAUCACAAACAAGAGCGACACACACAAGAUGCUGAAAGGACUCAGCAGGCCAGGCUGCAUCUAUGGAGAAAGUUUGUCAUUCUUUGCACACUGGUUGAACAUCCAAGUUGGUGUGGCCUUCCCUUGAUUCGAUUGAUUCUGGAGGACACUGGAGCACCCGGAGGGAAUCUGUGCAGGCACAGGGAAAACCUGCGAACUCCACAGCACCCGAGGUCAGGACUGAACCUGGGUUCCUGGAGCUGAGAGGAAGCGCCUCUUCUCUGCAAUCACUACUGUCACUCCACUCUUCAAAUUACUAUUUCAUCAGCAAAAGAUUAGCCGUGGCUUUAUCCUCAACUUGUGUUACGUCUGGCUGAGGCCUGAAGCAGUGCCAGGGAAUGGAUAGCUCAGAUUGCACCAGAGGUAACAGAAUGAACUCACUUGUCCUUCAGUCAUUUGACUGGAGUC
This is a long non-coding RNA of Hypanus sabinus (Atlantic stingray), 849 nucleotides long. RefSeq lists it as uncharacterized. The record is from RefSeq and is a predicted model, not a curated record. Lineage: Eukaryota; Metazoa; Chordata; Chondrichthyes; Myliobatiformes; Dasyatidae. The transcript is spliced from 3 exons.